AGUGAACGCUGGCGGUAGGCCUAACACAUGCAAGUCGAACGGCAGCACAGUAAGAGCUUGCUCUUCCGGGUGGCCAGUGGCGGACGGGUGAGGAAUACAUCGGAAUCUACUUUUUCGUGGGGGAUAACGUAGGGAAACUUACGCUAAUACCGCAUACGACCUUCGGGUGAAAGCAGUGGAUCUUCGGGCCUUGCGCGAUUGGAUGAGCCGAUGUCGGAUUAGCUAGUUGGCGGGGUAUAGGCCCACCCAGGCGCCGAUCCGUAGCUGGUCUGGGAGGAUGAUUAGCCAGACUGGAAGUGUGACACGGUCCAGACUCCUACGGGAGGCAGCAGUGGGGAAUAUUGGACAAUGGGCGCAGGCCUGAUCCAGCCAUACCGCGUGGGUGAAGAAGGCCUUCGGGUUGUAAAGCCCUUUUGUUGGGAAAGAAAAGCAGCAGGUUAAUACCCCGCUGUUCUGACGGUACCCAAAGAAUAAGCAACGGCUAACUUCGUG
RNAcentral lists this ribosomal RNA (492 nucleotides) under uncultured bacterium. RNAcentral describes it as "partial 16S ribosomal RNA". It matches the Rfam family "Bacterial small subunit ribosomal RNA", at positions 29 to 507 of the family's 1533-position model. The record is from RNAcentral.